GGGGGUGUACUGGUUUCGACGGGGGUGUGGAGGCAGGAAUAGCGGGCGGAUGCGCCUACCAUCCUUAAAAUGGGCAGCUUAUAAAUUAAAGAACAACGAUAAUACUGUUCUUCUCGCUGCUUAAUUAAGCGAGCGUUCCACCCGGGAGGACCACGGCCCGGGAUGGGGCGUCGACUAGUGGUGAACAUGCGUGCGCAAAGCUUUGAGCGCACCAUGGAUCAUGAAGCUACCAGACUCUCGAGCGUGACGGCACGCGCCUGAGCGAGGGAAUGUAAAUUACCGUCUGCGCCCGGAGAAGUUCCUGAGGAAACGCUUUCGGACAGGGGUUCGAUUCCCCUCACCUCCACCA
RNAcentral lists this transfer-messenger RNA (349 nucleotides) under Oscillospiraceae. Its description in RNAcentral is "Limivicinus sp900319275 Standard tmRNA". It matches the Rfam family "transfer-messenger RNA". From Rfam's summary of the family: Bacterial tmRNA, also known as 10Sa RNA or SsrA, is named for its dual tRNA and mRNA-like properties. Its role is to liberate the mRNA from a stalled ribosome. Lineage: Bacteria; Bacillati; Bacillota; Clostridia; Eubacteriales. The record is from RNAcentral. RNAcentral also lists the same sequence under 1 other name.